GACGUAGGAUGCAAGCGUUGUCCGGAUUUAUUGGGCGUAAAGAGUUCGUAGGCGGUCUGUUAAGUCUGAUGUUAAAGAUCGGGGCCCAACCCCGGGAGUGCAUUGGAUACUGGCAGGCUGGAGUGCGGUAGAGGCGAGUGGAAUUCCCAGUGUAGCGGUGAAAUGCGUAGAUAUUGGGAAGAACACCAGUGGCGUAGGCGACUCGCUGGGCCGUAACUGACGCUGAGGAACGAAAGCCAGGGGAGCGAAUGGG
RNAcentral lists this ribosomal RNA (253 nucleotides) under uncultured bacterium. RNAcentral describes it as "partial 16S ribosomal RNA". It matches the Rfam family "Bacterial small subunit ribosomal RNA", at positions 524 to 776 of the family's 1533-position model. The record is from RNAcentral.